RNAcentral lists this ribosomal RNA (1249 nucleotides) under Campylobacter hyointestinalis subsp. lawsonii. RNAcentral describes it as "bacterial SSU rRNA". It matches the Rfam family "Bacterial small subunit ribosomal RNA", at positions 267 to 1533 of the family's 1533-position model. Lineage: Bacteria; Pseudomonadati; Campylobacterota; Epsilonproteobacteria; Campylobacterales; Campylobacteraceae. The record is from RNAcentral.
ACCAAGGCUAUGACGCAUAACUGGUCUGAGAGGAUGAUCAGUCACACUGGAACUGAGACACGGUCCAGACUCCUACGGGAGGCAGCAGUAGGGAAUAUUGCUCAAUGGGGGAAACCCUGAAGCAGCAACGCCGCGUGGAGGAUGACACUUUUCGGAGCGUAAACUCCUUUUGUUAGGGAAGAAUAAUGACGGUACCUAACGAAUAAGCACCGGCUAACUCCGUGCCAGCAGCCGCGGUAAUACGGAGGGUGCAAGCGUUACUCGGAAUCACUGGGCGUAAAGGACGCGUAGGCGGAUUAUCAAGUCUUUUGUGAAAUCUAAUGGCUUAACCAUUAAACUGCUUGAGAAACUGAUAAUCUAGAGUGAGGGAGAGGCAGAUGGAACUGGUGGUGUAGGGGUAAAAUCCGUAGAGAUCACCAAGAAUACCCAUUGCGAAGGCGAUCUGCUAGAACUCAACUGACGCUAAUGCGUGAAAGCGUGGGGAGCAAACAGGAUUAGAUACCCUGGUAGUCCACGCCCUAAACGAUGUAUACUCGUUGUUGCUCUGCUAGUCAGGGCAGUAAUUCAGCUAACGCAUUAAGUAUACCGCCUGGGGAGUACGGUCGCAAGAUUAAAACUCAAAGGAAUAGACGGGGACCCGCACAAGCGGUGGAGCAUGUGGUUUAAUUCGAGGAUACGCGAAGAACCUUACCUGGGCUUGAUAUCCUAAGAACCUCUUAGAGAUAAGAGGGUGCUAGCUUGCUAGAACUUAGAGACAGGUGCUGCACGGCUGUCGUCAGCUCGUGUCGUGAGAUGUUCGGUUAAGUCCGGCAACGAGCGCAACCCACGUAUUUAGUUGCUAACAGUUUGGCUGAGCACUCUAAAUAUACUGCCUUCGUAAGGAGGAGGAAGGUGUGGACGACGUCAAGUCAUCAUGGCCCUUAUGCCCAGGGCGACACACGUGCUACAAUGGCAUAUACAAUGAGACGCAAUAUCGCGAGGUGGAGCAAAUCUAUAAAAUAUGUCCCAGUUCGGAUUGUUCUCUGCAACUCGAGAGCAUGAAGCCGGAAUCGCUAGUAAUCGUAGAUCAGCCAUGCUACGGUGAAUACGUUCCCGGGUCUUGUACUCACCGCCCGUCACACCAUGGGAGUUGAUUUCACUCGAAGCCCAAAUACCAAACUGGUUAUGGUCCACAGUGGAAUCAGCGACUGGGGUGAAGUCGUAACAAGGUAACCGUAGGAGAACCUGCGGUUGGAUCACCUCCUUUCUA